This 803-nucleotide ribosomal RNA is filed under the name Bacillus sp. AI-15. Its description in RNAcentral is "bacterial SSU rRNA". It matches the Rfam family "Bacterial small subunit ribosomal RNA", at positions 35 to 807 of the family's 1533-position model. Lineage: Bacteria; Bacillati; Bacillota; Bacilli; Caryophanales; Bacillaceae. The record is from RNAcentral.
GCUGGCGGCGUGCCUAAUACAUGCAAGUCGAGCGCAGGAAAUAAACAGAACCCUUCGGGGUGAUGUUUAUGGAAUGAGCGGCGGACGGGUGAGUAACACGUGGGCAACCUGCCUGUAAGAUCGGGAUAACUCGCGGAAACGUGAGCUAAUACCGGAUAACACUUUUCAUCUCAUGGUGAGAAGAUAAAAGACGGUUUCGGCUGUCACUUACAGAUGGGCCCGCGGCGCAUUAGCUAGUUGGUGAGGUAACGGCUCACCAAGGCGACGAUGCGUAGCCGACCUGAGAGGGUGAUCGGCCACACUGGGACUGAGACACGGCCCAGACUCCUACGGGAGGCAGCAGUAGGGAAUCUUCCGCAAUGGACGAAAGUCUGACGGAGCAACGCCGCGUGAGUGAUGAAGGUUUUCGGAUCGUAAAACUCUGUUGUUAGGGAAGAACAAGUUGGGUAGUAACUGACCCAACCUUGACGGUACCUAACCAGAAAGCCACGGCUAACUACGUGCCAGCAGCCGCGGUAAUACGUAGGUGGCAAGCGUUGUCCGGAAUUAUUGGGCGUAAAGCGCUCGCAGGCGGUCUUUUAAGUCUGAUGUGAAAGCCCACGGCUUAACCGUGGAGGGUCAUUGGAAACUGGAGGACUUGAGUACAGAAGAGGAGAGUGGAAUUCCACGUGUAGCGGUGAAAUGCGUAGAGAUGUGGAGGAACACCAGUGGCGAAGGCGACUCUCUGGUCUGUAACUGACGCUGAGGAGCGAAAGCGUGGGUAGCGAACAGGAUUAGAUACCCUGGUAGUCCACGCCGUAAAC